GCUAAUUAAAAAUCUGAUCGAAAACGACAGCGUUCCAAGUACGCAAGUCAAGGGUAUAUCGUACCGGCAAGUCUCCGGUAACGGUUAUCGGAAAAUUGAAAAAUGCCGCCGGCGAAGAAAGGGAAAACAAAGGCUGGAUCAAAGGAAACGACUCCAUCGGAAAAACCUAAUAAUUUUCCGUCUUGUAUCCGGUGCAUGCCUCCUUCAUCCAUCGCUAUAACCAUCCACGCUAAACCCGGUUCCAAGUCCGCAUCCAUAACAGAUGUGAGCGAUGAAGCUGUUGGUGUGCAAAUUGAUGCACCGGCGAGGGAUGGUGAAGCAAAUGCUGCUCUUCUUGAUUACAUCAGCUCUGUUUUAGGUGUAAAACGAAGACAAGUAUCUUUAGGUACUGGUUCUAAGUCAAGAGAUAAAACCGUGAUUGUGGAAGAUGUAACUCAGCAAUAUGUUUUUGAUGCUUUGGGUAAAGUCUCAAAACAGUAGUUAUGAGAGGAGAGAAAAUGUGUUUUUCUUGGUGAGACUUCCUGCUGCUUUUAAACUAUCAUUCUCCUCUAGAAGUGAACGCAGAGUACCUCAUCCUUUGAUUUGAACUUGCCUUUAUCAGUGAGGAUAGGAAGAAUUAGCAGUGUCAGUUUUUCUCAACUAGUGCAUGUAGCUAGCUGUUUUGAGUUCGAUGAAAAAACACAGAAUUACAAGACCUCUGGAAUUAAUAUGGCAUCAGUAACUUGAGCACAUUUUGUUAAAAUAAUGUAUAAACUUUUAUGUUGGAUUAUGUAGUAAGUUUAUAUGCUUAUUAUUUCUUCUACA
Lathyrus oleraceus (garden pea) is the source of this 804-nucleotide RNA transcript. RefSeq lists it as uncharacterized. The record is from RefSeq and is a predicted model, not a curated record. The transcript is spliced from 4 exons. NCBI's taxonomy places the organism in Eukaryota, Viridiplantae, Streptophyta, Magnoliopsida, Fabales, Fabaceae.